GAUAGGAUGGAGCGUAAAAUGCACCCAUUGUCAAUAAGUUAAUAAAUUCACAUGGUAUGGAAAAUGCAACAAUUGCUAAAAGAGUUGUUCUUAUACCACUUGGAACAUAGCAGAUAAGAAGAACUAAAAAAGAACCGAAUUCUGAGCCUUUGAUUGUUGUGAGUUAACCUUAGGAUCAUUUUUUUUUUGUUUGUCUGUUUGUGGGUGGGGUGGGGGGUAGACUGGUGGAGUCUGCUGAAUACCUACCGUGUAAAAUACUUCUGGUUCACCUAGAUUGACUGAGCACCUGCAUGUGGUUUUGCGGUAUCCUGAGUUUUUUUUUUGAAAACUCCUGUGUGUGUGGUGAGGUGUAAUCUAGUUCGUAUCUGGUCUUCAAUGUAAUCUAGUUUUUAUCUUGGCUUCAAUGUAAUUGAGUUCUUACCAAAUGUAAUCAAGUUGUUAAUAUAAUCAAGUUCUUCCCUUUUCUUCAAUGUAAUGGAGUUCUUCUGCGUAAUAAACUUUAUAUGGAAGUGAAUGGAGAUUGUUUUUCCCGAGUGUCUGCAAAUAUUGUUCUGUCCAAGCCAUUUUACCUGGUGGCAGUUUAAAUAGCUUUGGUAACUUGCAAAUUGCAUGGCAAACCUAUUCUUUGUUUUCUGCUUUGAUGCGCUCACAUCCGAUUCCAAGCUUCGCACACCGGGAACAGGUCUUUCAAUUGGCAAAGGAUUAACCAUUAGCAUUUAUGUGUCUGUAAAAAUUCAGUUCAAUUCAUCUGGUUAUGCAAAUUCUGAAUCAUGAGGUUGAAAAUUUAUGGAGGCAUACAUCAGAAACAGCUCUUGCCGCAUCGUGAACAGAUAAGAUAGCCAGACCUGGAAGGUUUUUGUUGCUGCUGAACAAAACGGCAGCUGAGAGCGAGAACAUGUUUGGUUCCUGCAGCAAGGCUGACGUCACCUUGCCAAAACGAGAUUUAUGGAGCAAGCAGGACAUUCGGAUUGGGAACAGAUCCUCUGGUAUGUCAGAGGGACGUUGAAGCCGCAGGUCCCUCAUUGCCCAUCCAAAUUGCAGGCAGUGACGCCGCAGAAAACAGGGUGGAGCUGUAGGCCCAGGAGCAUGGAGGAAAAAUGGCGUGAGGCCAAUGGAAAAGGGCGCAGAGGAGUUGAUUGCUGGAAGGGACGACCUUCUCUGCUCUUCUAUCUUGUAUGUAAGUCUUCUGCUCUACCUUCUCCUGCUGUCUUCAGCAUGAAUGGCUCACUGGUAUUGAUAUAACUUCCAUCAUCAGAUUGCUUUGAACUUGAUCGAGCUUCCCCUUUCCUCAUGAAAGAAGCAGCCAGUUGAAAUUGUAUUAUGUAGUAUUGGGAUGGAAGACGAGGCAAAACUGAGCACCAUGAUUCCAAUACGUAAGUAAUACAACCCCACUCUGUUAUUUAUUAUGUGACAUCAAAUGGAUAUUAGUUGUUUCAAUCUCAUGUACUGCUAUUCCUUGCUUGUGCUCUGCAAUUGCACAAGUCUCCUGCUCAUGUUAUUUUUCUGUUGCAGAGCUACGCUACGGCUCCUAUCAGCUGUCCAAGCAAUGGUGAGUAUGUAAGCCCUUUAGUACUACUACACCAUCCACUUUGUAUUGCAAGUUCGACAUGUCUGUAAUUACAACUAUGUGGUAUUCAGAAUGGCACAUUGCAGCAGUGCGAAGUGGCCUCUUGUAGGCCAGUCUUGCAUAGGUGCUAGUAUUAGUUUGCAUUAGUUCAGGUUUUUUGGAUCUUAUGUAAGGUAGUCAUUUGCAGUAGUUAUUUGAUAUAGGUGCUGAGAUCUUGAGUUUCAUAGAAAUAUUUAUUUGAGAAAGGUUUCAUCAUCAGUCCCAAAUGAUGUAAACAUUAAAUUCAGAGCCGCUUUGAGGUUUACCCUGAUUGGUAUAUUCAUUGUGUUGCAACUGGAUUUGGAUUGCUUAAUACUGCAUAUAGAAUAACAUGGUUAUUAGAGGGUUACAUGGUUGUUGCUGAAACUGUGGCAGCAAAAGAAUACCUUUUUUCUAUUUGUCAACAAGUCAAAUAUGGACAACACAUACUGAUUAAAUUGGAAUAAUAAAGGUUGAAAAAAAUUGCUUCCUCCUCUCUGUUGAUUUAACACACUGUACUGUUGUUUUUCAGUCCUUAUGUUAACAAAAACUCGACCACAAGAGGAGACUCCCCCCGAGCUUUGUUCUAAGAAGUUGCCGUGCUUCGAAUCCGGGUCGGGACAGGAGUUUCAUCGACUCCUGGAGUUCAACGCUCUAACUGGUCCACCGCGAGAAGCUUGGCAGUAUGCCAGUAUGUCCUUAUGUCAACACAAGUAGGAUUAGCUAGCUGGCUGCAAUUGACUAAUUAGCCCAGCUGAUUUAUCAAAUUAAUUGAAAAACGAUAAUUUCCUCGUGCAUGUUAGGUUUAAAAUAUCAUUUUCCUGCUGCAACAAUGAGUGAUAGUCUCAGAAAGCUCGAUGUAAGAUUACCUGCACAAAAAUACAGACAUCAAUUUAUUUUUUUUAUCAUUGAUGGUCUAAUACUGCAUGUUUGCUUUGAUUACCACGUCAACUGGUUGUGGCAAGUUGCCUGUUCGUUGCUGCAUUGAUGCAGGAUGGCCGCCCGGUGGCGUGACCUCUUCAUGUCCAGGUCUGCGCGUGUCAAUGGAAAAAAAGGUAAGAAAUCCCAACCGGUGCCUGCUUCCUUCUAAAUUAUCCCAAUUAUUUUUGUUCCUUUCAAGCAUUGAAGUGUUCAAGUGAAAUUGCAAGUUAGAGGAAAAUUUAAGCUUAGUGGGACUUAGUUGUGAUAUUUCUUUAGCAUGUGUGAUAAUAUGUGAUUGAAAUUUGAAUCAGCUAUGAUUGACAAGUAAUUGAUGGAAGAAUUUAUAAGAGGACGUUGCAGAUAGUGACAGCAAUGAUUUCAUGUCUAGAGGAAAUGAAGAAUGCCAUUCUAUAUUUUUCCUUUGGGGAAAUUUAGUACUGUGGUAUUGUAUUUCAUAUACUACCUCGUUCUUAAAUAUAUGACACCAUUGACUUUGUUUCAUUCGUUUGACUAUUCAUCUUUUCUCCAAAUAUUUUUACAAAUAGAUAAAUCUACAUGUUAAAUCUAAAGUACUUUAGACAAUAGACAUAAUGGUACUCAUUUUACUUUAUUUAACUAAUUCAUUAAAUAGAUGUUGGUCAAAGUUGGAGCAAAAAGUGAACAACAUCAUAUAUUUAAGAACGGAGUGAGUAUAAAAUUAAUAAAUAAAUAAAGUGUUACAGUAGCGUAGUGGAGCACAAAACCACAAAAAGGCCAAGUGAAGGAAAGAAGAGAGAGGUCAGAGAAACAACUUUACAGAAGGCUAUUCGGCCAGAUGGAUACAUUUAUGACUAAAAGGACUAAAUCUGUGCAGGUGAAUCUUUACAGUAUCCAGAAAGCAAAUUUUCCAAGAUAUGAAUGGAGACUAAGGUCUUUUGAAGAUUUGUUCAUUUCUCUGUUUCCAAAUUUCGUGCUGAGAUAGUGAAGAUUUUCAUGAAAAAUUGGUGCUGAUCUUAGCUUUCUUAAUUGUAGCAAAGAAUCUGGUAGUGAUCCCAUGAUAUACCAACGAAGUUCCAACAUCUACUGCUGAAACCAACAUCUACUGCUGAAAGGACAUUCAAAGAACAGGUGAUAUGUGGUUUCCUCUAGAUUUAGGUUGCAUAGCAUGCAGUGACAAUUUUCCCCAUCAAUCUUGUAGUUUCUUCUUCUUAGUAGUUUCUGGAACUCAGUCUAUCUUUGAAGAUUAGCCACAUGAAGAUUUUUAGCUUUUUGGUCAUUUUAGCUUUCAAGAUCCAAUCGAAAGGAGUUGGAGGUGUAAUAGAUCUGAAUGAUAGCAGAUAAUACUUUCUUGAAGAGUAAUUUCUAUUCCCCAAACUGUAUUGCCAACUGUCUGUUUCAUUGCUUUGCUGCUGUAUUUGUUCAACUUUGCUUUGCAAAAUUUGCAGUUCCUCCGAUGCCUGCUGGGAUAGUGUUUAUAUGAAAGUGUAUCUGUGGAGUGCUAUCUGCCAGAAACGGAGCACAUUUUUUUUUUGUAAAGGAGAAUAAUCUAGGUAGUUGAUCCCUAAGAUAAGAUCCACUCCAAACAUCAUUCCACAUCAGUAUUGCCAGUUGGAUGCUUUAUUUUCCCUAUGGAGAUCAUCUUUUAUCUAUGAUCUUUGCUAACAAUAUUAUAGUAGCUCAUUAGUUUGGUAAAAAUUGCCUGGUGCAUUGUUAUUUAGACAAUAUUGCUUUAAGACGGUAUUUUGUUAUGUUUGCGAUAAAAUACCAUACCCUUCCUGGCUAACUGGAACCUCUUAAUUUCUUUUCAUGAAAUCAAGGAGCAUAUAGUCACUAACAAUUAAGCGACAUAUAUGAAUAUACGAUGUUUAGUCCGAAUUAUGAAUAAAUGAAAUUUCUGAAGCAGAACAUAGGCCACUGCCGAUGUCCAGUGGCGGAUCCAGGACUCGGGCUGCCUAGGCUGCAGCCUGGAUCAAAGGCUUGAAAAACAAUGGAGAUACAAGACAAAUUGUACAAAUGAUAGAUGUUUGAUAGAUGUGCAAAACACUUGAUCUUGUAUUAAGCUCGGACCAUGCCACACCCUGAAAUUUUCGAAUUUCAUGAUGUGAUUAAAAGAAAUAAUUAAACAACGAUUUUCUAUAAUUUAAAAUUUUUGCCAACAUUUAUUUUCUUUACAGAAAAUGUAGUAUAGGAAAAGUAAUUGCUUGUUUUUCGGAAUUAAAUAAUGUUGUUCUCUGUCUGUGCAUUCAUGCUGAUGCAUCUUGGUGUUUCAUGAGUGAAAAAGUUUUAAAAAUGUGUUUAGACGUUGUCCAAAUUCUUUUGAGAAUUUUCCAGUUUUUCUGGAAUUUAUUCUCCUUUUCCUUGAGCUUAAUCCAAUUUUUUGGAUGGUUCUAGAAUCCUUUUUCACGAGCUCAAAUAUUUUAUUUGGGUUCCUCGUGUCCCAAUCUAUCUAUGGUAUUUUUCCUAGAAUUUUUGGAAUUUCCAGAACAUUUUUCGUGGUUUAAAUGAUUUAUCUAGAAUUUUCUGGAUUUAUCUUUACAUGCGAAAUGAUUUCUGAAAAUAAUCUUUCUAUCCUUUUCCUUUGGGCUGAGCCUUGGGCCCGACCCACACCAGCCCAGCAAGCCAUCAUCCUUUUUCUUCUGCCGACCCAGCCCAACUCCCUCCCUUUCUCUCACUGACUGGUGGGCCCCACCUGUCGGGCUUCUCUUCAACCUUCGACUGGCGCCACCGCUUGAGCUCCAGCGCCCAAGCACCACUCGAUCUUUCGUCGCCCUGGCUUCCCGGCGCCCCUCGGCUCCCCACGACCCUACGCCUCCCACACGCAAGCCGCUACCCCUCGUUUCUCCUCCCUACGGUGGAAACUGCCGCUCCACCAACCCGCCGCCAUGAAUGGCACCGCCGCCACCGCGAUUCAAGUCCAGGCGCCUCAACUCCCUUCCUCCACCCCUAUAAAGCGCCCGCGCCUCCUAGGGCCUCCCGCUGCCGCUUCUCCUUGGCGCCGCUGCGCUAACGCCCCUGCAUCGCUCCGCAGCGCCGCCGCCCACAUCUCCGACCACCACCGGCCAAAUCCCGCGCCACCACUCCAGCUGUCGUCGCCUUGCUCCUUCGCCAAGCGCCGCCGCACCAAGCCUCCGGUAGUCGCUUACCGCGAACCCCGCAGCUGCGCCCCUCGGUCGCCGGCCGUUGACUGCCGGAAGGAGCCUCCCAUGGGGUGUGGUGGUCAGGCUUGAACUAAGGAUGGCAAUGGGUAAAUCCCCAUCGGGUAUAGCCAUCCCAGACCCAUCCCCGCUAUAAAAAUUUGAGACCGUUAGAAUCCCUGUACCCAGUAUGGGUGGGGACCCAUACCCGACCGGGUAAAUCAUACCCGGUGGGUCACCCGUACCCGCCAAUAGUUUAUUCACGACGUCGACGAGCUCGGGAUCCAGCGGCUUCAGGCAGUCACCGUCCUCCAAGACCUCCAUGAUGUCCCUUGACGUCGGAGUGAACGAGCUGGUUAGUGCGAGGGAGAAGGACUGAAGGAGGCAAGGAGCGCCCGACGCCUGCAAAGCAUAUGAAGGGGAGAAGGAGAAUGGAGAAGCAAGAAUCACCGUCCAUUGAUGCUUCCUUACUCCGUUGGCAACAUGGCGUCGGAUGUGGUGGCUUCCUGGCGCUUGGAUUUGGAUGGAGUGCCGACAACGAGUCAACGAUGCAAAAGCAAAACGAGGUCAUGAGGGGGGCACAACCGCAUAGGCAGCAAGGCGUUGUUCGCUUGUUUUUUUUGCGGCGGCGUGGCGAGUAGGAGUAGCGACUAGCGAAGCGAGCGUCGUGCGCUUUUUUUUCGACGGCCGGCAGGGGACCAGUGGUCCGCUGGUGGCUGGGUAGGAUAGGGUUGGGAGGGGUGGGGAAUGGGGAUAAGAUUAUAUACCUAGGGUUAGCUUAUAGGCUAGUGGGCUUCUCUACUUUUUGGCCAGGUAUUUUUCACACAUGGGUUAACGGGUAUGGGGACUGCUGGAACAUACCCAUACCCGCGUACCCGAUGGGUGAAGGGUUUGGUCCAUUUACAUACCCGUGGGUAUUGUGUUUAGUCUAUAUUCAGACUGUAAUGGAGUAAAUAUCCGUCGGGUAUCAGGUCCCCAUUGCCAUCUUUAGCUUGAACUGUCGGUUGGAGGAUUGUAGGAGAAGAUAAGGUGUCUUUGCAAUAAAGCCCCUGCAAAACUUGUAAAUCUCUACCUCUUUCUUUGUGUCUUGCACCUUUCAUAGAAAAGCCCUCGAAAUCUUCAGUUUCUUGGAAUCUAAUCCAAGCCUUGACUUUUUGCAGAUCUAGCCCUAGGUUUUUAGCUUUUCGCAGGUCCUGUUCUCUGAGUCUUGGUAAUCUUCUGUGCUAACCCCUGAGAUCUACGGUUAAUCUUGUUUAGGUUCUUAGAACCUUACUUAGUCCCUAGAUUCCACGUUUUAGCUCCGUUUUAAUCUGUUUAAGAUGCAUUGCGUUCAUAACAGCUUAAAAUACACGUUAGUAGUGAUAUCAUCCUACAUUUCAUGUCUUUAAAAAUAAAUUUAGUAUUAAUUUGAUUAAUGCCUAAUGAACAUGCGUUUCUCUAAAUAAAAGUUACCAAGGGUCAUACACCGUUUUUCAUAAUAAAGAUCAAUAAUCCAAUUAGGUUAUACACCGGUUUUUCAUAAACCAAAGAUAAGUUGAUUAAUGCUUAUUUAAAUAAUUCUUCCAAUUAAAAGCCAUAUAGAGUUAAAUUGAUUAAUGCUUAUUUGAUUAAUAUUUAUUCAAUUUGCUUUCUAAAUAAAAGCUUAUAAGAUUUUCCGUUAAAAAUAAUAUCAUUUUAAAAAAAUCCCCGGCCAACGCGGUUGCUCAUCGGAGUCAUCGCUCAUCAGCAGCUCAGCACCGCAACAGCAGGAAGCUAGCCCAACUGGUGACAGGUGGGGCCUACCUAAUUUAGCGUCAAAAUCAAAAUCACUUCCAGUCUUCCACCUGAGAGUCGGACUCGGACUCGGACUCGGAGCCAGCCAGGCAUGAGGAUAUGGUGGCGCCGCCCGUACGCCUCCGCCGCCUUCCUCCGCCGCCACCGCAUCUAUGCAAUACAAAUCCAAAUCCUCGGAUCCAAUCUCAAAUCAUCCGCGAAACAAUUCUCUCGGCAACCUAGAUCGCCCGCAUCGCGUUCAAUUCCUCCCAGCAACCACCGCAAAGGAGAGCCUUGCUCCCAAGAACCACAGCAGAUCCGGCGAACGAGAUGCUCUGCCUCCCCUCCUCCUCCGCAUUCCGGCCGGCCGAUCCGGCGGCGCGUGGCGCCAUGGCUUCGCAGCAGCAGCGCCAGAGCUUUCCUCACGCCUCCACUGCAGCUCGAGGCAUGCUCAGCUUCUCCUCCGCCGCACCGUCCGGGCCGGCAGAUCCUGCGGCGCAGCAGCAGGACUUCCGCAUGCGGGAGUUCGACUACUUCGUCGUCGUCGACUUCGAGGCUACCUGUGAGAAGGAUUCGCGCAUCUACCCGCAGGAAAUCAUCGAAUUUCCUGCGGUCCUCGUCGACGCCGCCACCGGCGGCCUGGUCUCCUCGUUCCGCACCUAUGUGAAGCCGCGGCACCACCCGGUCCUCACCGCUUUCUGCUCCGAGCUGACGGGGAUUCAGCAAGAGCAGGUCGACGGCGGCGUGGAUCUUGCAACGGCGCUGGCCUUGCACGACAAGUGGCUGGCGGCGGCGGGCGUAUCCAAGAACCGUCUCGCCAUCGUCACCUGGGGUGAUUGGGACUGCCGGACGAUGCUGAAGUUCGAAUGCAAUUUCAAGAACAUCUCCAAGCCAUCGUAUUUCAACCAGUGGGUUAACCUCCGGAUCCCCUUCGAGACCGCGUUUGGCGCUGGGCGGCGCAACCUGCAAGAAGCUGUCCGGGAGGCGGGUCUGCAGUGGGAUGGCCGCCUCCACUGCGGGCUCGACGACGCCCGCAACACAGCGCGUCUCCUUGUCGAGCUGAUGCGGCGGGGAGUCCGUAUCUCCAUAACCGGCUCUCUGGUGCCACCGCCUCUGCCAGAGCCAGAGCCGGAGCUGGAGCCUGAGCCGGAACUCCAACCUCAGGCACAGCUCUCACCGGUGAAUCGCAACUUAAGCUGGUGUGAUGAUGGCGCUGCUACUACUGACUGCUUCUACUGCUACUGCAGCGUUCCUAUCAGAGGCGGCGUGGUGACGAUGCCGGGACCAAUGCAAGGGCGAUUCUUUUUCACUUGUGGGAACUGGAUGCCGACAUGUCGUUUCUUCCACUGGGCAGCCUGAUUGCCGGCCGUCUGGACUCCGCAUCAUCAAUGACUAAGGUUAGAUAAGUACAACUCACUUCUACACACACAUGGAGAGCAUGCUUAGUUAGUGCUCAGGUAGGUGCCGCACUUGCUCAGGAGUUUGUGCUCUGUGAAUCUGUGUGAACCAGUUAGAAUUUUAGAUGGUUGGUAGCAGGGUCUGCCUCUCUGGGGUCUUGGAUGGUGAAUCCUGAUGAGGAAUAGGUGCCUGCAAUGAAGCUUGGCAUUACCUUUUCCUAAACAUAAAACUAGCUUAUUGUAAAUAAAGAGUUAACACAAAAUUGUUGCUCUCAAAUAUUAGUUGUUGGAGUAAUAACAAGGGUAAGACAUGUUAAGCUAGUUGGCUAUCCAUUUCAAGUUUUUAGCAUACAGGUCCAUAUAUUUGAAUAAUCAUGUAUACGAAACAUGAUCCUUUCUGUUCAUUUUUCUCUCUAAAAUAGCUUCAGGUUGCACUUGUUAUUCUCCAUCCACAUUCUUCAUGUCAGAUAGGAUUAUAAAUGCAGCCAUUGUCAAUAAGUUUAUAAAUUCACAUGGUAUGGAAAAUGUAACAAUUGCUAAAAGAGUUGUUUGUUUACCAAUUGGAACGUAGCAGAUAAAGAGGAACUAGAAAAGAACCGAAUUCUGAGCCCUUGAUCGUUGUGAGUUAACCUUAGGAUCAUUAUUUUUUUGUUUGUCUCUGUGUGGGUGGGGUGGGGGCUGGAACGGUGGAGGCAGUCUGCUGAGUACCUACCGUGUAAAAUACUUCUGGUUCACCUAGAUUGACCGAGCACCAGCAUGUGGUUUUGUGGUAUCCUAUGUUAGAUCUGAAUAGAAGCACUCCUGUGUGUGUUUUGAGGUGUCUAGGAUAUGACUACACGUUUUCAAUGUAAUCUAGUUCUUACCUGGUCUUCAAUGUAGUUUUUAUCUAGCCUUCAAUGUAAUUGAGUUCUUACCAAAUGUAAUUGACUUGUUACUCAAUAUAAUCAAGUUCUUACCUGUUCUUCAAUGUAAUGGAGUUCUUCUGCGUAAUAAACUUUAUAUGGAAGUGAAUGGAGAUUGUUUUCCCCAGUGUUUUGCAAAUAUUGUUCUGUCUUGCCAUUUUACCUUGUGACAGUUUAAAAAGCUUUGGUAACUUGCAAAUUGAAUGGUGAACCUAUUCUUACGUUUUCUGCAUUGAUGCGCUCACAUCCGAUUCCAAGCCUCGCACACUGGGAACAGGUAUUUCAAUUUGGCAAGGAUUAAUGAUUGGCAUGCAUGGGUUUGUAAAUAUUCAGCUUAGUUCCCUCUGGUUAUGUGAAUUUUGAAUCACGGGGUUGAUAGUUAUGGAGGCCAUACGUCAAAAAUAGCUCUUGCCGCAUUGUGAACAGUUAAG
RNAcentral lists this long non-coding RNA (10101 nucleotides) under Setaria italica (foxtail millet). RNAcentral's name for it is "long non-coding RNA (SITA_LNC001062)". Lineage: Eukaryota; Viridiplantae; Streptophyta; Magnoliopsida; Poales; Poaceae. The record is from RNAcentral.